GGAAAUAUUUUAUUGAAACUUCGGUAGAUUUAAUUUAUUUCUAGUGGCGGACGGGUGAGUAACGCGUGGGUAACCUGCCUUAUACUGGGGGAUAACAGCCAGAAAUGGCUGCUAAUACCGCAUAAGCGCACAGGACCGCAUGGUCCAGUGUGAAAAACUCCGGUGGUAUAAGAUGGACCCGCGUUGGAUUAGCUAGUUGGCAGGGCAGCGGCCUACCAAGGCGACGAUCCAUAGCCGGCCUGAGAGGGUGAACGGCCACAUUGGGACUGAGACACGGCCCAGACUCCUACGGGAGGCAGCAGUGGGGAAUAUUGCACAAUGGGGGAAACCCUGAUGCAGCGACGCCGCGUGAAGGAAGAAGUAUCUCGGUAUGUAAACUUCUAUCAGCAGGGAAGAUAAUGACGGUACCUGACUAAGAAGCCCCGGCUAACUACGUGCCAGCAGCCGCGGUAAUACGUAGGGGGCAAGCGUUAUCCGGAUUUACUGGGUGUAAAGGGAGCGUAGACGGCGCAGCAAGUCUGAUGUGAAAGGCAGGGGCUUAACCCCUGGACUGCAUUGGAAACUGUUGAGCUUGAGUGCCGGAGGGGUAAGCGGAAUUCCUAGUGUAGCGGUGAAAUGCGUAGAUAUUAGGAGGAACACCAGUGGCGAAGCCGGCUUACUGGACGGUAACUGACGUUGAG
RNAcentral lists this ribosomal RNA (680 nucleotides) under uncultured Lachnospiraceae bacterium. RNAcentral describes it as "bacterial SSU rRNA". It matches the Rfam family "Bacterial small subunit ribosomal RNA", at positions 68 to 750 of the family's 1533-position model. The record is from RNAcentral. Lineage: Bacteria; Bacillati; Bacillota; Clostridia; Lachnospirales; Lachnospiraceae.